AUGGCGAUGGUCCUGGAUGCUUUUGCAUCCUAUGUGCUAAACAUGCUAACGGAGAUGGCGAGGGAAGAGGUGCACAUGCUGCUUGGAUUCAGACGGGAGAUCGACAAGAUGGACAUUAAACUUAGGGACCUCAAGAACUUCCUCGCCGACGCUGACAGGAGAAACAUCACCGACAAGAGCAUGCAAGAGUGGGUGGGCGAGCUCAAGCGUGCCAUGUACGAAGCUGCUGAUAUACUCGACCUCUGCCAGCUCAAGGCCAUGGAGCGCCGUUCGUCCACUCUAGAUGUGGGGUGCUUCAACCCCUUGCUCUUUUGCAUGCAGAAUCCCUCACAUGCCCAUGACAUCGGCACCCGCAUCAAGGCACUCAACAAGAGGCUUGACACCAUCAAGGAGCGAAGUGCUGCUUUCAGCUUCAUCAAUAUUGGUGCAUAUGAAGAUCGUAGCAGCAAAGUGCACGUCACUCGUUCUGCUAAUCCCAACCGUGAGACGACAGGGGAAUUUGACCGGUCGGGUGUAGUUGGGGAGAAGAUCAAAGAAGACACAAGAGCGCUGGUUGAGACCAUGUUAGCUGAAAAAGAGGGCAACACCAACAUCAUGGUCGUGGCCAUUGUUGGUGUCGGCGGGAUUGGCAAGACUACUCUUGCCCAGAACGUCAUCAAUGAUGAAACCAUGAAGGCCGAGUUUGACAACACAAUAUGGUUAAGCAUCAACAAGGACUUUGACAAAGUUGAGUUACUAAGGACAAUCAUCACGCUCGCCGGGGGUGUACAUGGAGGUGAAAAGGCAUUGGUUGUGCUUCAGUCAGUCCUCACCACUGCCUUGAAAGGAAAGAAAUUAUUCCUGGUACUAGAUGAUGUAUGGAACCAUGGAGCGUGGGGUGAUGUGCUUAAAACUCCCUUGGAUAAUGUUGUGGCUCGAGGUAGCCGAGUCCUCAUCACUACUAGAGAUGAAAAAGUAGCCCGAGGGAUGAAAGCUGAGCUUCCCUACCACCAUGUCGACAAAUUAGAGGAGGAGGAUGCCUGGUCAUUGCUCAAGAAACAGAUAGUCUCAAGCGAGACAAAUGGACAUGAAAUUGAUAUGCUCAAGGAUAUUGGAUUGCAAAUUAUUGCAAAAUGUGAUGGUUUGCCUCUUACUGUCAAAGUAAUGGGAGGACUCUUGUGCCAAAAGGACAAUAAGCACCGUGACUGGGAGAUGGUUCUGGAUGAUUCUAUAUGGUCAGUAUCUGGAAUGCCCGAAGAGCUAAACCAUGCAGUCUAUUUAAGCUAUGAAGAUUUACCUUCCAGCAUGAAACAAUGCUUUCUAUGCUACUCCCUUCUCCCCAAAACUGCAUUGUUCAAAAGAGACAACAUAAUUGGCAUGUGGAUUAGUGAAGGAUUUCUUCAGGGAACCUCAGAUGACUUGGAAGAACUAGGUAGAAAGUACUAUAAGGAGCUGAUACUAAGAAACCUUAUAGAGCCAAAUGUAGAGUAUGUUGAUCAACGUGUUUGCAACAUGCAUGACGUUGUGCGCUCAUUCGCUCAAUUUGUGGCUAGAGAUGAGGCACUAGCCGCUCACAGCAGUGAAACAAAUAUUGUUAGUAAACUCAGUGCACAGAAGUUUCUUCGAAUAUCUCUAGAAGGCAAAGUAUCAGAAUCAGAUGGGUUGGACUGGGGUUCUUUGCAACCACAAAAGACACUGAGGACACUAAUAUCAGUUGGCAGUAUAAAUAUGAAGCCUGGUGAUUCGCUUGUUCAUUUUCCAUGUCUACGAACUCUACAUACAAAUUCUGCACGUAUUGUUGCAUUGGUUGAAUCUGUGCAUAAACUCAAGCACCUGAGGUACUUGUCCUUAGAAAACUCUGAUAUAUCUAGUCUUCCAGAUAGCAUUGGAAAGAUGAAAUUCUUGGAGUACAUUAACCUUACAGGAUGCCAACAGUUUGUUAAACUACCAGAUAGCAUUGUAAAGUUAGGGCAUCUAAGGUAUCUUAACUUCAAUAGCACAAGUAUAAAUGGCAUACCUAAGGGAUUCCGUGAUCUGACAAAUCUGAGGAUAUUACGUGGGUUCCCAGCUAGGGUAGAUGGUGAGUGGUGUAGUUUGGAUGAGUUGGGCCCUCUUUAUCGGCUCAAGCAUGUUGGAAUACAAGGGUUGGAGAAUGUAACUGCUUCCUCGUCCGCAACAAAGGCAAAGCUUAGUGAGAAGGUGCAUCUUACGAACCUAUACUUAACAUGCAGUAGUAUAUUGGGGGACAAUGGACUGAUUGAAGAGGAAGUGCACCAGCGAAUUGAGGUGGUGUUUAAUGAGCUCUGCCCUCCGCCAAGGUUAGAAUUUCUUUCCAUUGAAGGAUAUUUUGGCCGACGGCUCCCAAGGUGGAUGAUGUCAUCAGAUUUGCCCCUCAAUAGCUUGAGGAUUUUGUUCAUUUGCGACCUGGCUUGCUGCACACAGCUUCCUGAUGGCUUGUGCCAACUCCCUUAUUUGGAGUUCAUUCAGAUCAACCGUGCUCCAACCAUCAAGCGUGUUGGACCUGAAUUCAUGCAGUCCUACCAUCACCAUAGUCCUCGUACUUCCCAAAUGGUGGUUGCAUUUCCGAGAUUGCGUGAUAUGGAUUUACUAGGAAUGGUGGAAUGGGAGGUGUGGGAGUGGGAGGAGCAAGUGCAAGCUUUUCCUUUCUUGCAUGAACUCAGGCUAAGCCACUGCAAAUUGAAGUGUCUUCCUCCUGGCCUUGCCUCCCAGGCAAGGGCUUUGAAUAAAAUGUCCAUACAAUCUAUCCAGGGUCUCAUCUCUCUAGAGAAAUUUCCAUCUCUGGUUGAGCUGUUCCUGGAUGACAAUCAUGACCUGGAGAGGAUCACUAAUCUUCCCAGACUGCAGAAGCUUACAAUUGAAGAUUGCCCAAAGUUGAACGUGUUGGAGGGUGUUCCUGCACUCCAGGGGCUCUCUCUCAGAGAUAAAGUCAUGGAUGCACUCCCAGAAUACAUGGGACGUAUAAACCCAAGGUAUUUGGAGCUACAAUGCAGCAUAGCACUGCUCGCUUCCAUAGCCACAACACAAUCUGGCCCUGAGUGGGACAAGUUCAGCCAUAUUGAGCAUGUCAGGGCAUAUGCAUGUGGAGGUGAUAAUCCAAGGAAAUGGUACGUCUUGUACACAGCUAACCCCUACAACUUGGAGACAAAUGUCAGCCUCUCUUUCUUGUCCAGAGGAACCUUAACUUUUGUAGAGGACACCCAAAUAUUCGAGUCUGUCUUCAAAAUGACAAGAAAAACCUUUAGCUACAUCUGCAGCUUGGUGAUGGGGCCGUCAAUGGAAGAUAUGAACAGCUGCACCUUUAUUGACGGGAGGGUGUUGUCUUUACAAGAUCGAGUAGUAGUUGCUUUGAGAAGGUUGCAAUGUACUGAGCCAACAGAGACCAUAGCAUCCUCUCUUGGUGUGAGCGAGUCAACAGUCUUGUUGGUAACUGAGAGGUUUGCUGCUGCUGUGUGGCAGGAAGCAGAUCACCACUUCCGCUGGCCAGACUCCAGACAAAUGGAUAAGAUCAAAUCCAUGUUUGACAAGAUCCACAAUAUGCGUAACUGUUGCGGUGUUAUAUGUACAAUUGACACUACAUUUGGACCAAACUACGACCAUGAGAAGAUUGAGAGCCCUCAGAUGCAAGUCAUCGUUGAUCCAGAGAUGAGGUUCAGGAACAUUUGGUUUGGAUCGACAAGUAGACUAAACCGCUUAACCAGAUUGUACGACUCUGAUCUCUUCAAGGAGUGCGAGAAGGGCAGUUUGCUGAAUGGCAGCAAGCUGAAAGUAGCAUUAGAUGGACCAGAAGUCGGGGAAUACAUAAUUGGUGAUGCAGGAUAUCCUCUUCUCCCCUGGCUACUCACACCUUACCAUGAAGACUAUCACUCAGAUUACAAGGCGGAAUUCAAUAGGAGACACUCCUCAGCCACAACCUGUGCUAUGAAGGCAGUCGCAAGGCUCAAAGACACAUGGAAGUACCUGCAGGGAGAGAUGCCGAGCCCCGUUAAUAUACGUGAGACAAUCUAUACCUGCUGCGUGUUGCAUAACAUAAUCAUAGAAAUGGAGGAUGAUGCAGCCAUUUUGAGUGCCAAGCAAAAGAGGAAUUGCUGUGAGGAAGUGCGCCAGUUAGCAAAUGAGGAUGCUGUCAAGGCGAGGGAUAUUCUGUCGCAACACUUCCUGGCCAGCAGGUCAUCUGAAUCGGGAGAGGAUGAUGAUGAAGCCAUGUUGUGGCCCAAGUACUGGAAUUAUUGUGACGAAUUGGAGUUAGCAAACAAGGAUGCUGUUUAG
This 4266-nucleotide ribosomal RNA is filed under the name Triticum aestivum (bread wheat). RNAcentral describes it as "partial small subunit ribosomal RNA". The record is from RNAcentral. Lineage: Eukaryota; Viridiplantae; Streptophyta; Magnoliopsida; Poales; Poaceae.